Molecule: ribosomal RNA, 465 nt
Filed under: Protopelagonemertes beebei
Lineage: Eukaryota; Metazoa; Nemertea; Enopla; Monostilifera; Protopelagonemertidae
Description: partial 16S ribosomal RNA
Rfam family: Bacterial large subunit ribosomal RNA
Source: RNAcentral
AGUUUCUUGAAAUUUUUUUAGAAAUAUUUUCUGCUCAAUGAUUUUAAAUGGCUGCGGUAAUUUGACUGUACGAAGGUAGCAUAAUCAUUUGUCUUUUAAUUGAAGACUGGAAUGAAUGGAAGUACACAAAACUUUCUUUCUUCUAUUUUUUUUUAGAAUUUGUUUUUUUCGUGAAGAAACGAAAAUGUAGUAGGGGGACAAGAAGACCCUUUUGAGCUUUAUUUUAAUUUAAUUUUUAAGUUAGAUAAAAAUUUGGUUGGGGCGAUCAAGGAAGAAAAAAUCUUUUUUGUAAUUUAUAUUUUAGAUCUUUAGUUUUUAAUUAAUAGAUUAAGUUACCAAAGGGAUAACAGCGAAAUUUUUUUAGUGAGUUCUUAUUUAAAAAAAAGAUUGCGACCUCGAUGUUGACUUUUAAUUUCCUUUUAGGUGUAGAAGCUUUUUAAGGAGGUCUGUUCGACCUUUAAAUUU